This 624-nucleotide ribosomal RNA is filed under the name uncultured bacterium. RNAcentral's name for it is "bacterial SSU rRNA". It matches the Rfam family "Bacterial small subunit ribosomal RNA", at positions 115 to 737 of the family's 1533-position model. The record is from RNAcentral.
GCGUAUCCAACCUGCCCUUUACUCCGGGAUAGUCUCCUGAAAGGGAGUUUAAUACCGGAUGUGUUUGUUUUUCCGCAUGGGAGCGACAAAUAAAGAUUAAUUGGUAAAAGAUGGGGAUGCGUCCCAUUAGCUUGUUGGCGGGGUAACGGCCCACCAAGGCGACGAUGGGUAGGGGUUCUGAGAGGAAGGUCCCCCACAUUGGAACUGAGACACGGUCCAAACUCCUACGGGAGGCAGCAGUGAGGAAUAUUGGUCAAUGGGCGGGAGCCUGAACCAGCCAAGUAGCGUGAAGGACGACGGCCCUACGGGUUGUAAACUUCUUUUAUAAGGGAAUAAAGUUCGCCACGCGUGGUGUUUUGUAUGUACCUUAUGAAUAAGCAUCGGCUAAUUCCGUGCCAGCAGCCGCGGUAAUACGGAAGAUGCGAGCGUUAUCCGGAUUUAUUGGGUUUAAAGGGAGCGUAGGCGGGCUUUUAAGUCAGCGGUCAAAUGCCACGGCUCAACCGUGGCCAGCCGUUGAAACUGUAAGCCUUGAGUCUGCACAGGGCACAUGGAAUUCGUGGUGUAGCGGUGAAAUGCUUAGAUAUCACGAAGAACUCCGAUCGCGAAGGCAUUGUGCCGGGGCAG